AUUGAACGCUGGCGGCAGGCUUAACACAUGCAAGUCGAGCGGGGAAGGGUAGCUUGCUACCUAACCUAGCGGCGGACGGGUGAGUAAUGCUUAGGAAUCUGCCAUUUAGUGGGGGACAACAUUCCGAAAGGAAUGCUAAUACCGCAUACGUCCUACGGGAGAAAGCAGGGGAUCUUCGGACCUUGCGCUAAAUGAUGAGCCUAAGUCGGAUUAGCUAGUUGGUGGGGUAAAGGCCUACCAAGGCGACGAUCUGUAGCGGGUCUGAGAGGAUGAUCCGCCACACUGGGACUGAGACACGGCCCAGACUCCUACGGGAGGCAGCAGUGGGGAAUAUUCCGCAAUGGGCGAAAGCCUGACGGAGCGACGCCGCGUGGAUGAUGACGGUCUUCGGAUUGUAAAGUCCUGUAGAGGGGGAAGAUGGGUGCAGCAAUGCAUCUGACAGUACUCCUAAAGUAAGCUACGGCAAACUCUGUGCCAGCAGCCGCGGUAA
Molecule: ribosomal RNA, 490 nt
Filed under: uncultured bacterium
Lineage: Bacteria
Description: partial 16S ribosomal RNA
Rfam family: Bacterial small subunit ribosomal RNA
Source: RNAcentral